RNAcentral lists this ribosomal RNA (433 nucleotides) under uncultured bacterium. RNAcentral describes it as "partial 16S ribosomal RNA". It matches the Rfam family "Bacterial small subunit ribosomal RNA", at positions 29 to 507 of the family's 1533-position model. The record is from RNAcentral.
AACGAACGCUGGCGGCAUGCCUAACACAUGCAAGUCGAACGAGACCUUCGGGCCUAGUGGCGCACGGGUGCGUAACGAGGGGUAACCUGCCCUUGGGUUCGGUAUAACUCCCCGUGAGGUGACCUCAUGAAACUUGGGCUCAUACGGGCUAAGAGUUUUUGCCUUUGGGUGGGGGCUGGUUGGAUUAGGCGGUUGGUAGGGUAAAAGCCUCCCAACGGCACGUUGCAUAGCUGGUCUGAGAGGAUGCUUAGCCACACUGGGGCUGAGACACGGCCCAGACUCCGACGGAGGGCAGCAGUGUGGAAUAUUGGACGAGGGGCGAAAGCCUGAUCCAGCAAUGCCGCGUGAGUGAGGAAGGGCUUAGGGUUGUAAAGCUCUUUUACCCGGGAUGAUAAUGACAGUACCGGGAGAAUAAGCUCCGGCUAACUCCGUG